CCACACUGUACAAUGUCUCCUUUGCCUUCACCUUGGCUCUGGGAUCUCACUCCAGUGCCAGAACAAACUCCUUCAUGCAGAAAGGCCGGGCCUCACGUUGAUCUGACCUUUCCAAGAGUUGGGUUCAAAU
Hyla sarda is the source of this 130-nucleotide small nucleolar RNA. The record is from RefSeq and is a predicted model, not a curated record. NCBI's taxonomy places the organism in Eukaryota, Metazoa, Chordata, Amphibia, Anura, Hylidae.